AUGUGGAAAAAGCAGUAUCUCUUCUUUCCUCAAACCCACUACCUGGAGCAUUUUUCCCACUACAAGUCUUGAACAGCAUCUCCAUUCCAGAGAUUUGAGGGAAACCAGCAACCUCAUAGAGCAUGUAACAGCCAUAAAGCUGGAUUCUUGCAGCAACAGGCUUACUUCCACAUAACUUAUCUAUGAGUAUUGGCAAACCACUAACACAUUUAUAACAAUCAACAUUAGAAAGGUCACCUCUACACUGAAAAAGACCAGAAAUUGUAGAUUGCCCACUACCAGUACUAGUCUUAUAGAACUUAGACUUUCUUCCCUUUUUG
Molecule: unclassified non-coding RNA, 320 nt
Filed under: Hevea brasiliensis (rubber tree)
Lineage: Eukaryota; Viridiplantae; Streptophyta; Magnoliopsida; Malpighiales; Euphorbiaceae
Source: RNAcentral